RNAcentral lists this ribosomal RNA (253 nucleotides) under uncultured bacterium. Its description in RNAcentral is "partial 16S ribosomal RNA". It matches the Rfam family "Bacterial small subunit ribosomal RNA", at positions 524 to 776 of the family's 1533-position model. The record is from RNAcentral.
UACAGAGGUCUCAAGCGUUGUUCGGAUUCAUUGGGCGUAAAGGGUGCGUAGGCGGCGCGGUAAGUCGGGUGUGAAAUCUCGGGGCUUAACUCCGAAACUGCAUUCGAUACUGCCGUGCUUGAGGACUGGAGAGGAGACUGGAAUUUACGGUGUAGCGGUGAAAUGCGUAGAUGUCGUAAGGAAGACCAGUGGCGAAGGCGGGUCUCUGGACAGUUCCUGACGCUGAGGCACGAAGGCCAGGGGAGCAAACGGG